UACGAAGGGGGCUAGCGUUGUUCGGAAUUACUGGGCGUAAAGGGCGCGUAGGCGGCGAAGCAAGUUAGGCGUGAAAGCCCCGGGCUCAACCUGGGAAUUGCGCUUGAUACUGCUUUGCUUGAGUUCGGGAGAGGUGAGUGGAAUUCCCAGUGUAGAGGUGAAAUUCGUAGAUAUUGGGAAGAACACCAGUGGCGAAGGCGGCUCACUGGACCGAUACUGACGCUGAGGCGCGAAAGCGUGGGGAGCAAACAGG
This 253-nucleotide ribosomal RNA is filed under the name uncultured bacterium. RNAcentral's name for it is "partial 16S ribosomal RNA". It matches the Rfam family "Bacterial small subunit ribosomal RNA", at positions 524 to 776 of the family's 1533-position model. The record is from RNAcentral.